RNAcentral lists this ribosomal RNA (234 nucleotides) under uncultured bacterium. RNAcentral's name for it is "partial 16S ribosomal RNA". It matches the Rfam family "Bacterial small subunit ribosomal RNA", at positions 118 to 347 of the family's 1533-position model. The record is from RNAcentral.
UGAGCAAUCUGCCCUUCUCAUCGGAAUAAGCGUUGGAAACGACGUCUAAUGCCGAAUACGACCUCCUUUCGCAUGAUCGGAGGUGGAAAGCUCCGGCGGAGAAGGAUGAGCUCGCGGCCUAUCAGCUAGUUGGUGUGGGUAAUGGCCCGCCAAGGCGACGACGGGUAGCCGGCCUGAGAGGGUGACCGGCCACACUGGGACUGAGACACGGCCCAGACCUCCGUACGGGAGCAG